ACGGAAGGCGGCAGUGGGGAUUAUUGCACAAUGGGCGCAAGCCUGAUGCAGCGAUGCCGCGUGAGGGAAGAAGGUUUUCGGAUUGUAAACCUCUGUCAUCGGGGACGAUAAUGGCUGUACCCGAGAAGGAAGCUCCGGCAAACUACGUGCCAGCAGCCGCGGUAAUACGUAGGGAGCAAGCGUUAUCCGGAUUUACUGGGUGUAAAGGGCGUGUAGGCGGGACAUCAAAUCAGAUGUGAAAGCACGAGGCUCAACUUCGUGUCUGCAUUUGAAACUGACGUUCUUGAGUGUUGGAGAGGCUAACGGAACUCCUAGUGUAGCGGUGAAAUGCGUAGAUAUUAGGAAGAACACCAGUGGCGAAGGCGGUUAGCUGGACAAUAACUGACGCUGAGGCGCUAAAGCGUAGGUAUCAAACAGGAUUAGAUACCCUGGUA
Molecule: ribosomal RNA, 434 nt
Filed under: uncultured Oscillospiraceae bacterium
Lineage: Bacteria; Bacillati; Bacillota; Clostridia; Eubacteriales; Oscillospiraceae
Description: bacterial SSU rRNA
Rfam family: Bacterial small subunit ribosomal RNA
Source: RNAcentral